GUUCCCUGCGGUGUUGAGGGGAAUUCUACGCAUGAAUUAAAUCCAGAGAACUUCUCAAGUGACUUCAGAUGUUUUUCUAUCUGGAGACGGCGAAUUCAUGAAGGAAGCGAAGAAUUCCGUGUUUACCGGAUGAUUCCGGGUCAAGAUGUUUCUUCAGACCAAAAAGUGACUUAAUGCGGGAGAAGAAAUAUUCAUCGGCCUGGGAGGAGAUUGUAGACCAACGACCUGCAGGAGAUAUAGACAUGAAGGUGCGUGCUGGACAGUGAAGAGCGGAGUUACGAGGCGGCAGGCGUUGGGGUUAGUCACCUUUCUUCUGGCUGACUGGACUGGAUUAGCGUGUGAUUACUGGACAGCGAAGAAAGACAUCAAAGAGCGAAGCCUUUGUUAGGAAUUACAGCUUCAAGACGCCUCCUGUAUGGAGACACUAGUGUCCGGCAUUCUUCUGGGGGGGAUUCUGCCAAUUCUUCCACAUAAACAGUCUCCAAAUCCUGAAGGUUCCAUGGGCCUCUUCUAUGUAUCAUGAUCUUCAGUUCUUUCCAUAGAUUCUAUGAUAUGUCAGGUGAUUUUUAUUUUCUUUCUGUAAAACCAUUUGAGAGUUUCCUGUGUGUUUGGGAUCAUUUUCCUCCUUAAAUGUCCUUUCAUCUUCAUCAUCCUGGGAGAUGGCAGCAGAUUUGUCACAAUGUCUCAGUAAAUUUGUCAA
Molecule: long non-coding RNA, 700 nt
Organism: Hyla sarda
Lineage: Eukaryota; Metazoa; Chordata; Amphibia; Anura; Hylidae
Exons: 3
Source: RefSeq, a predicted model, not a curated record